UCCAAUCCCCUCACAAAUCGAACAAGACCUAGGCAUUUGAGACCCUUGCUAUACAUAACGACCAACAUCAUCAAAGUCUCCUUGCUAAAUGUCGUAUCGAUGAUAUUUGGACGUGCGGACAUUCGAGCGCGCAUCAAGUGGCCAGGGUGGUGGACGACAACGACACGCAGUGUAGUCUGAAAUCUUGCAUUAUUAAACCAUGAUUCCAGCCAAGUAAUUAAACAUUACUUGACUCUGUUCGGCUAGCUAUGACUGGUGGUUGAUGUUGAUUUGUUGUGAGAGAAAAGUACUGCUGGUUAGUUGUUGGCUGGUGGCUAGUGCUGAUUUUGUGUGAUAGAAAAGUAUUGCUGAUUGGUUGGCUGACAACCCAA
Long non-coding RNA from Panicum virgatum (switchgrass), 371 nucleotides. RefSeq lists it as uncharacterized. The transcript is spliced from 2 exons. The record is from RefSeq and is a predicted model, not a curated record. NCBI's taxonomy places the organism in Eukaryota, Viridiplantae, Streptophyta, Magnoliopsida, Poales, Poaceae.